AACGAACGCUGGCGGCAUGCCUAACACAUGCAAGUCGAACGAAGCCUUCGGGCUUAGUGGCGCACGGGUGCGUAACGCGUGGGAAUCUGCCCCUUGCUUCGGAAUAACAGUUAGAAAUGACUGCUAAUACCGGAUGAAGUCUUCGGACCAAAGAUUUAUCGGCAAGGGAUGAGCCCGCGUAGGAUUAGGUAGUUGGUGGGGUAAAGGCCUACCAAGCCGACGAUCCUUAGCUGGUCUGAGAGGAUGAUCAGCCACACUGGGACUGAGACACGGCCCAGACUACUGCGGGAGGGAGGAGUGGGGGAUAUUGGACAAUGGACGCAAGUCUGAUCCAGCAAUGCCGCGUGAGUGAUGAAGGCCUUAGGGUUGUAAAGCUCGUUUACCAGGGAUGAUAAUGACAGUACCUGGAGAAUAAGCUCCGGCUAACUCCGUG
Molecule: ribosomal RNA, 433 nt
Filed under: uncultured bacterium
Lineage: Bacteria
Description: partial 16S ribosomal RNA
Rfam family: Bacterial small subunit ribosomal RNA
Source: RNAcentral